AACGAACGCUGGCGGCAUGCCUAACACAUGCAAGUCGAACGAGAUCCUUCGGGGUCUAGUGGCGCACGGGUGCGUAACGCGUGGGAAUCUGCCCUUAGGUUCGGAAUAACAGUUAGAAAUGACUGCUAAUACCGGAUGAUGACGUUAAGUCCAAAGAUUUAUCGCCUGAGGAUGAGCCCGCGUAGGAUUAGCUAGUUGGUGUGGUAAAGGCGCACCAAGGCGACGAUCCUUAGCUGGUCUGAGGGGAUGAUCAGCCACACUGGGACUGAGACACGGCCCAGACUCCUACGGGAGGCAGCAGUGGGGAAUAUUGGACAAUGGGCGCAAGCCUGAUCCAGCAAUGCCGCGUGAGUGAUGAAGGCCUUAGGGUUGUAAAGCUCUUUUACCCGGGAUGAUAAUGACAGUACCGGGAGAAUAAGCCCCGGCUAACUCCGUG
Molecule: ribosomal RNA, 436 nt
Filed under: uncultured bacterium
Lineage: Bacteria
Description: partial 16S ribosomal RNA
Rfam family: Bacterial small subunit ribosomal RNA
Source: RNAcentral